AGCAGUGAGGGAAUAUUGGUCAAUAGUCAAACGGCUGAACCAGCAACUUGAAGGAAUGGAAAGUUUUCGUAACGAAAACUAAUACUUUUGUGUAAAAUUCUAGGUAUAAUAUUGAUAGAGACAAUUUUAUACCUAUGUGUCUUGACCAAAUCACGUGCCAGCAGUCGCGGUAACACGUGGAAGACUAGUGUUAUUCAUCUUUAUUAGGUUUAAAGGGUACCUAGACAGUAUAUUUAGCCUAAAUAAGGUACAAAUAUACUAGAGUUUUAUAUGAGAAGGUAGAAUUUUUGGAGUAGUGAUAAAAUACGACAAAACUAAAAAGACUGUUAACGGUGAAGACAACCUUCUAUCUAAAAACUGACGUUGAGGGACGAAGGCUUGGGUAACGAUAAGGAUUAGAUACCCUAGUAGUCCAAGCAGAAAAUUAUGAAUGCCAUAGACUAGAAAGUUUAGUCUAUAAAUGAAAGUGAAAGCAUUCCACCUUAAGAGUAAUGUGGCAACACAGAAACUUAAAUCAUUAGACCGUCUCUGAAACCAGUAGUGAAGUAUGUUAUUUAAUUCGAUGACCCGCGAAAAACCUUACCACAAUUUGUAUAUUAUUUAUUUAAUACAGGUGCUGCACGGCUGUCUUUAGUUAAUGUCGUGAGAUUUUGGUUAGUUCCAUUAAUUAACGUAAACCCUUGUUUUAUUUUAUUAUAAAAUAGCUCUGCCAUUAUAUCGGUAAGUUAACAGGGAUCAAGACAAGUCAUCAUGGCCUUAAUAUUGUGGGCUAUAGACGUGCCA
RNAcentral lists this ribosomal RNA (783 nucleotides) under Rhopalophora clavispora. RNAcentral's name for it is "SSU rRNA". It matches the Rfam family "Bacterial small subunit ribosomal RNA", at positions 350 to 1227 of the family's 1533-position model. The record is from RNAcentral. Lineage: Eukaryota; Fungi; Ascomycota; Eurotiomycetes; Sclerococcales; Dactylosporaceae.